UCUAGGUUUACAGAUUUCAGACAAACUCCGAAUGCCAAUUAAUUUAACUUGGGAGUCAGUACAUGGGUGAUAAGGUCAGUGUUCGUAAGUGAAACAGCCCAGACAACCAGCUAAGGUCCCAAAAUAUAUGUUAAGUGGAAAAGGAUGUGGCGAUGCCCAGACAACUAGGAUGUAGGCUUAGAAGCAGCCAUCAGUUAAACAUUGCUUAAAAGCACACAAGUCGAGAGACACUGCGCCG
This 238-nucleotide ribosomal RNA is filed under the name Staphylococcus aureus. Its description in RNAcentral is "partial 23S ribosomal RNA". It matches the Rfam family "Bacterial large subunit ribosomal RNA", at positions 929 to 1166 of the family's 2925-position model. The record is from RNAcentral. Lineage: Bacteria; Bacillati; Bacillota; Bacilli; Caryophanales; Staphylococcaceae.